Molecule: long non-coding RNA, 544 nt
Organism: Mastomys coucha (southern multimammate mouse)
Lineage: Eukaryota; Metazoa; Chordata; Mammalia; Rodentia; Muridae
Exons: 2
Source: RefSeq, a predicted model, not a curated record
AGGAGAGGAGAGACAAGACGAGAAGAGAAGAGAAGAGAAGUAGAGGCCAGUCCAGGACCCAAGACUAUAGAAUGGUGUCACCCACAGUUGGGGUUGGUCUUUCUACCUCAAUUAACCUAAACUUCCUACCUCAGUUAACCCAGGCUAGACUCCCCUUUACAUACAUGCUCCCAGAGGCUCGUCAAGUGGACAAUAUUAACUACCAAACCAUGUAAAUAGACAAACAGUAAACAUCAUGGAACCUACUCUCUAGCACAGAGGUGAGCCACACGCUAAGGCAGGAGUCUGCAGACAUCGGCAAACAGCGGGGUAUAAAUACUGAGACUGUGUGUGAGAUGUAACUGCAGCACUGUGAUCUGUGAUCAUCUGAGCCGUUGGCCAAGCAGAGCAAAACAAGGACACUGUACAGUCGCUGCUGCGGUGGCGGCUGCGGCAGCGACGAUGGCGGUGGCGGUGGCUGCUGCUUCUCAACGCAGUCACCAACAGCGUAUAACUGAACAAGCAUGGCUGUGCUGUAAUAAAACUUUAUUCAUAGAUAUUGGAA